AAUCACAAAAAAAGAGGCCAUGGAAAUCCCCCACGCCGCGCACCACCACCAACUCUCGCCCGCGGCGCCGCUCCGCCACCAAUGGCCGCCGCCGCCGCCGCGGCGGCCACGAGGAAGGACGGCGCCGACGCCCGCCCGCACCCGCAUCGCCUCCGGUCGCCCACCAGGGUCGCCGCGGACUUCGCCAUGGGCGGCGCGGCGGCGGUGGUGGCCAAGACGGGGGCGGCGCCGGUGGAGCGCGUCAAGCUGCUGCUGCAGAACCAGGCCGAGAUGCUGCGCCGGGGCGCCCUCAUGCGGCCCUACCGCGGGAUCGCCGACGCCUUCGCCCGCGUCCUCCGCGAGGAGGGCGCCGCCGCGCUCUGGCGUGGGAACCAGGCGAACGUCAUCCGGUACUUCCCCACCCAGGCCUGCAACUUUGCAUUCAAAGGCUACUUCAAGAGCUUCUUCGGCUAUGACAAGGAGAAAGACGGGAAAUGGAAAUGGCUAGCUGGAAAUGUAGCAUGUGGCAGUGCUGCAGGAGCCACAACAUCAUCCCUGCUAUACCAUCUGGAUUAUGCACGGACGCGGCUAGCCACUGACGCGAUUGAAUCCCGAGCUAACAAACGUCAGUUCAGGGGGUUGCUAGAUGUCUACAAGAAGACACUUUCAACUGAUGGCAUUCGUGGAUUGUACCGAGGCUUCAGUGUGUCUAUUGUGGGUAUCACUCUAUAUCGGGGUCUUUAUUUUGGCAUCUACGACACCAUGAAACCUAUUGUACUAGUAGGGCCACUGGAGGGAAAUUUCCUGGCCAGUUUUGCCUUGGGAUGGACAAUAACUACAUUCUCCGGGGCCUGCGCCUACCCAUUUGAUACACUCCGACGAAGAAUGAUGUUAACUUCAGGGCAGCCAUUCAAAUACAGGAGUGCCUUCCAUGCCGUAAAACAGAUAGUUUCCACCGAAGGGUUCUUCACUCUAUUCAGAGGGGUCGGUGCAAAUAUCCUCUCGGGAAUGGCAGGAGCUGGAGUUCUUGCUGGGUAUGACCAGCUCCAACGGUUUGCAGGCCAGCAUGAUUACAAAAUUGAGAACAAGAUGAAAGGGGCAUUGAAAUGAUGUGCAUAUGAUGGAUCUGCAUGUGCCUGGGAAGAUCCUUGGGUUUUCAGGUUGCGCGCUGGCCAGAUGGGAUGUGUUGUGUGAGCUACAAUUACCGAGCUCACAGAGCAGAACUUGAAAUGCCUGCAAGAGUUAAUAGGAAUGAAUUGAUCAGCACAGCAACAUUUCCUGGAGGGUACAUUGUGGUAUUUUUUGAUUGAUCAGGCGUCAAGACUCUCCUCGCCCGGCCUUGUUGAUCGCUUAGAAGGCCCAACUAAUGAUGAUUUGUAGGCUUCCGCUGAGACUGGAAUAAAUCUGAGAAGUGCUCUAGCUGCUGUGACCUGAUGGUUGUCCGUACAGGCAGUGGCCAAGUGGAGCUAGCAGGAUGCCACUAUGAGGCAAAGUGGCAAACAGAAUAGACUAGGUGAGUUGCUGAACCCAAAAAACAUGGGUGGGUGGCCUGGGCUUCAAAGACCUUGAAGAUAGAUUCAACAUCAUGAUGGUAGCACCUGAAACAUGGGUGGGUUGCUUAUAGAAUCGCUGUGCUGCCCUCAAAUUCUCAUGGACAGAUACUGUUGGAAUUCUGGUGUUCAGCAAGCUGAAGCAAAGUAAGGAAUUUCAUUGCCUGAAGAAGCAUCCUGCAUGGAAUCUGGUAGAUGCAUGACCACCGACAGGUGACAGAACUCACUACAUAAUCUUUGAACAAGGAUACAAUUCGCUCGCCACAGGUAUCCCCAAGUCAAGGAGGCUCUCAAUUUGUAUUGUCAUUUUUGGAGUUGAGGAGAUGUUUUACUACAAGACUGUACAGAGGAAAAAAAUGGUGAUGUACGGUGUUUGUUGUAGGAUGGUGAGUGAUCUGAUUUAGUAGGGUCCUGGAGGCAACAAUGCACAUGUUUUGCAGAGUUAAUGUGGUUGUUUAGGCAGAAAUACAAUACAAGAAUGGAUCUGGAAACUGGAAAGAAUUAUCCACACCCUGCAGCCGAAAAGUACUAUCGGUUUACACGGCAAUAAGGUUGUCACUCACAGGUUGCUUCUAGCCCUGCACAAAUUUCUUCAGAUAGUUAGGAUUCCCACUAAAGAUUAAAAAUCCUUGCUGGUGCCUACUUAGACAAAACGAAAUGAGGGGAUAUAAUGGUGAGAAAUAUGUUUUGUUUUGUUUGUCCCUUGGGUGUAGACACUGAUCCCCUCUUCUUUACUCUGCCCCAUGGCAAGCAGAUAUGUAUGUAUGUAGUUGAUACAGUAUGCAUUUGAUUUUAGCUGUACUCUGGUUGAUACAGAUCCAACUGCGAUUUCUAUUUUCUAUUUAUGAUAGAGCAAGGUAUG
RNA transcript from Triticum aestivum (bread wheat), 2391 nucleotides. It is a transcript of the gene named ADP,ATP carrier protein ER-ANT1, with no coding region annotated. The record is from RefSeq and is a predicted model, not a curated record. NCBI's taxonomy places the organism in Eukaryota, Viridiplantae, Streptophyta, Magnoliopsida, Poales, Poaceae. The transcript has 6 exons.